ACGCUCGACACCUACGGGGGCAGCAAUGGGGAAUAUUGCACAAUGGGGGAAACCCGUGAUGCAGCGACGCCGCGUGAGCGAAGAAGUAUUUCGGUAUGUAAAGCUCUAUCAGCAGGGAAGAAACUGACGGUACCUGACUAAGAAGCACCGGCUAAAUACGUGCCAGCAGCCGCGGUAAUCUGAGGCGGGCUGGCAAGGC
Molecule: ribosomal RNA, 199 nt
Filed under: uncultured bacterium
Lineage: Bacteria
Description: partial 16S ribosomal RNA
Rfam family: Bacterial small subunit ribosomal RNA
Source: RNAcentral